Molecule: ribosomal RNA, 238 nt
Filed under: uncultured bacterium
Lineage: Bacteria
Description: partial 16S ribosomal RNA
Rfam family: Bacterial small subunit ribosomal RNA
Source: RNAcentral
CGGCGGACGGGUGAGUAACGCGUGGGUAACCUACCCUGUACACACGGAUAACAUACCGAAAGGUAUGCUAAUACGGGAUAAUAUAUUUGAGAGGCAUCUCUUGAAUAUCAAAGGUGAGCCAGUACAGGAUGGACCCGCGUCUGAUUAGCUAGUUGGUAAGGUAACGGCUUCCCAAGGCGACGAUCAGUAGCCGACCUGAGAGGGUGAUCGGCCACAUUGGAACUGAGACACGGUCCAA